GUAUUACCGCGGCUGCUGGCACGUAGUUAGCCGUCACUUCCUUGUUGGGUACCAUCCUCUUUUUCCCCAACAACAGGAGUUUACAAUCCGAAGACCUUCUUCCUCCACGCGGCGUCGCUGCAUCAGGGUUUCCCCCAUUGUGCAAUAUUCCCCACUGCUGCCUCCCGUAGGAGU
This 174-nucleotide unclassified non-coding RNA is filed under the name uncultured bacterium. RNAcentral describes it as "contains 16S-23S intergenic spacer region". The record is from RNAcentral.